This is a long non-coding RNA of Cyprinus carpio (common carp), 2586 nucleotides long. RefSeq lists it as uncharacterized. Lineage: Eukaryota; Metazoa; Chordata; Actinopteri; Cypriniformes; Cyprinidae. The transcript is spliced from 7 exons. The record is from RefSeq and is a predicted model, not a curated record.
UCUCUUGUUAACCAAUGAUUUAGGUUUCUUUUUAUUUCUUCAAAUUUUCUGUGAUAUUUUUGGAUUCUCUUAUUGCCAAGUUUUUAGAUAGAUGAAUGCCCAAGUAUUUAACAUCAUUCUUAACUGGAAUCAUCUCCACCUGUACGCUGUUUGCGUACCCAAUUCUCCUGUUUGAUCGAGUUCAAGCCAAACAGUGACAACAGCGCCUACCAGGGUCACAGAAUACGAUGGUCACAGAAUUUGGUGUAACACCGGGGUGAGGAUGGAUCACACCUCUUUAACAGAGAGAAUAACUCACGUUUUUUUCUCAAUCUCUCUUAAAUAGCCUACAGAUCUGUCAUAUCGACACACACAGGCAACGACUAACACGGAGGACUGCCAUCACAACGGGCACUUAGAUACCCCUACUUCCAAGUAGGCCAAGUUCUGGGCCCCCUACCCAUGACCCCCGAUGUAUGGAAGGCUCAGAUAUAGACGACCCUGCCUAUUGAAUUCAUAUCAGAGCUGCAAUCUAUCUCAGAACCAGCGUUGCCAUCACAGACUAAAGGCCAAAGCAGAAGCUCCCAUCAGCCACUGCAGAAGAUUCCUCUGCCCCAGUCUCUUUCUCAGACAGACACUCUCGCUCCAUACACACACAAGGCUCCUGCCACUUAGCGACAAUCCUUUCCUUACAGAAAGGGCACCAUGGCAAAUAUUGCAACACGAAGACAACAGUGUAAGAAUGGAGCUACGCAAUGGGAUUCCCAAAUCAAUGGAAGAACUCAUCGAAGAGGACAAGAAUCCAUGUGGAUUAGGAGGACACAUAAGGCUGUAGUACAAGGACACUGAUUUUGGGAACAUAUUUGUGAAUCUGACCUCUACAACUGUAAUUAAGGAUCUCUCAGUUAUCAAAGUUGUCCAAUUAGACCCUGAUACCACAACUAUUGUUUUGUACCCAGUUGAUCCCACAAUAAGUAGCAUCCCUUCAGGUGGACAGAACAGUGAAGAUUCCUCUUCAGGAUCUGCACAUACAGAUGACACCAUAAUUCUUAGCAGCUGUUCCCCAGAAUCAUUAAGAACACAGCAGUGGUCAAAAGUGCUCCCAAACCCACUCUUCUCCAAUGACACAGAAUGUCAACUACAGAGGGGAAAUGAUGAGUACACAAGAAGCAAAUCUAGGUUGACACCUUGCUCAAAAAUGCUGUCUGACAUACUGGAGAAAGUGGCUGAAAAAGUCUACACAUACAAAGCAUACCCUACAGAUGCUGACUUCAGUGAUGUUGCUGAGUCACUGACAAAGCCCCUGCCUGAGAGAACCAGGGUCUUUCAAUGAGAGCUAUGGAUGGAAACAAAGGCUCAAGGUAAAAAUGUCCAACUACCGGACUCUACUUACGGCACAUGGAACAUCUGCAGAGCUCACUGUGAAUUCUUUGAAAUCCAAGUCUCCAGAGGUGGCCUACCCAGCAAAGAAUUUGAAGAGACCUAGACGAGCUGAGGUCAACCAUUUUCCACCCUUGCCAAGUGGUGAGACUCCAGAAAGCCUUGAACAAGAGAGGAUUUCUCUUCUGGCAGAACUACAGCAAAGAAACAACAGACAAGCAAUAAAAGAAAAGAUGGCAAAGACGUUUGGAUACCGGAGACAAGAAAUUGUGCAUAAGAAGCCGAGCAUUGAAGACGUCUUCGAGAGAUGGCCUGCACUUUUUCAGAUGGAAGAGUUGCACAAGCACUUCACUAAACUGUUGGAGGUCAUCAGGAGCAAGGGAGGAGUUGUGAAAGAGAAGACCACCAGGACCUUGUAGGUUUUAGAUGAGACUGUGGACAUCACCAUCAGAAGAGAAUGUAUCCUCAAAUCUCUGAUGAUCUACCUCGGCGAACCUGUUGAGCACCUUAUCAAAGAAUACCAGGAAAAUGAGGUUGAAGAACUGGAGCAAACAACCAUGGCGAUCUUUAUCACCGGGAAAGAGGAUCCUCUCCAUCCACCCAAAGACAUUAAAAUUGUCAUCGAAGGAACAGAGGUCCUGAACGAGUUGCCCUCGGUUGCAACUGCUUUUGCCAUGGUCUUUGGGCUCAUAUUCACACUUAACCUAAAAUAUCCGAAAAGGCUGCAGUUCACCUUUGAAUUUGUGCAAAAGGUCCUGAUGGAGCUUGAUGGAAAAAAGAUGACCCCAAAAGUCACUAGACUGACCACCCAGCUGUAUAGCACAGAGUAGGCAGUGCUGAAUUGCACAGACUUGCUUGAUUUAAUUUUCCAUUUGUUGUUCAAUUUUAUGAUGUUUUUACAGCCAAGACUUUGGAUUCUUUUUAUAAGAGGUGGCACUUACAAGGCUGCAUUUUCACUGCAGCAUUUACAAAUGUGGCUGCCCAAGUUCGAUGGCUACCAGCUUCAAAGGCCGAAGUAGCCCAAGUGUUAUGUAUAACUGGAGAGACUGAUUGCAGUGUUCAAAAUUGUCAAUCUUCAUACAUUUGAAACAAAUGUUCAAUGUUGUCAGUUUAUUGAACAAUAAAUAUGUGUUCUAAAGGAAAGUGUUCUGAGUAGUCAUUGAUCAAAAUGUAUUAAAAGCAUUUUUUUUUAUUAUACAUUUCAAAUAAUGACAACUGAUAUUUUUU